AUACGAAGGGGGCUAGCGUUGCUCGGAAUUACUGGGCGUAAAGCGCACGUAGGCGGACAUUUAAGUCAGGGGUGAAAUCCCGGGGCUCAACCCUGGAACUGCCUUUGAUACUAGGUGUCUUGAGUACGAGAGAGGUGAGUGGAAUUCCGAGUGUAGAGGUGAAAUUCGUAGAUAUUCGGAAGAACACCAGUGGCGAAGGCGGCUCACUGGCUCGUAACUGACGCUGAGGUGCGAAAGCGUGGGGAGC
This 247-nucleotide ribosomal RNA is filed under the name uncultured bacterium. Its description in RNAcentral is "partial 16S ribosomal RNA". It matches the Rfam family "Bacterial small subunit ribosomal RNA", at positions 523 to 769 of the family's 1533-position model. The record is from RNAcentral.